Pezoporus flaviventris is the source of this 599-nucleotide long non-coding RNA. RefSeq lists it as uncharacterized. The record is from RefSeq and is a predicted model, not a curated record. The transcript has 4 exons. NCBI's taxonomy places the organism in Eukaryota, Metazoa, Chordata, Aves, Psittaciformes, Psittacidae.
UUCCUAUUGCACAGUGGGCUCUUUGACGCAACAGAAAGAGCUGCCUCUCUCUCUUUUUUUCUUUUUUUUUUUUUUUUGCUUCCUCUUAAAUCCGCCUGGCCAAUUUAAAGCUUGUGGAUAUUUCUUCUCCCUUGGGGAAAGCUUAUGUGAGGAUUUUCUUUUUUAACAGUUCAUUCCAUGAAACCGUUUUUUUCUUGUUUGCUGUUAGAAAAUGUUGGAGCUGAACACAAGGCUUUCAUUGCAGUGCACUUUAUUGGGAAGCAUGUUACUCCUAAGCACAUGCUGCCUGCAGGGAAGAUAGUUAUUUGCAGUUUUGUAUUUCAUCUUAGAUGCUGUCAAGGGAACUAGGAAAGGAUGUAAACAUAUUGUUAAUGUCUCUCUUCAAGCUGUGUGUGAGGCUGUAAAGUGUGCUGCAAAUGGUCUAUUGCAUAAGCCUCUAGUGGAAUGUGUUCUCAGGAAAUGACUCUUAGCUUGAAUUACUCUGGAAAAGGAGGCUGCCUAAAAGCAAGUCUUCCUACCCAUUACAGUAAGUUUCCAUAUGAACAGAAACAAAGACUCAGAAGCACGAAGCUCCUCUCUUAAAAAAAUCUCUUCCAAUA